AACGUUGGCGGCGUGGAUUAGGCAUGCAAAUCGAGCGAAUCCCGGGGGGUAACUCUCGGGGAAGCGGUGAAAGGGGCAGUAAGGCAUGGGUAACCUACCCCGGGGACGGGCAUAGCCGUCCUAACGGACGGGUAAUUCCCGGCGAUCCAGUUGGAUGGCAUCAUUUGACUGGGAAACGAAUUUCGCCUCGGGAGGGGCCCAUGUGGUAUUAGCUAGUUGGUGAGGUGAUGGCUCACCAAGGCCAAGAUGCCUAGCAGGUGUGAGAGCACGACCUGCGCCACUGGCACUGAGACACUGGCCAGACUCCUACGGGAGGCUGCAGUCGAGGAUCUUCGGCAAUGGGCGCAAGCCUGACCGAGCGACGCCGCGUGUGCGAUGAAGGCCUUCGGGUUGUAAAGCACUGUCGAGGGGGAGGAAAGCCCGCAAGGGUCUGACCUAUCCCUGGAGGAAGCACGGGCUAAGUUCGUGCCAGCAGCCGCGGUAAGACGAACCGUGCAAACGUUAUUCGGAAUCACUGGGCUUAAAGGGCGCGUAGGCGGGCCGUCAAGUCAGGGGUGAAAUCCUCCCGCUCAACGGGAGAACAGCUUUUGAUACUGGCGGCCUCGAGUGGGGUAGGGGCAUGUGGAACUUCCGGUGGAGCGGUGAAAUGCGUAGAUAUCGGAAGGAACGCCGGUGGCGAAAGCGACGUGCUGGACCCUUUCUGACGCUGAGGCGCGAAAGCCAGGGGAGCAAACGGGAUUAGAUACCCCGGUAGUCCUGGCCCUAAACGUUGGGUACUAGGUUGUGGACUGACAUGGGUUCACAGCCGAAGCAAAAGUGCUAAGUACCCCGCCUGGGGAGUAUGGUCGCAAGGCUGAAACUCAAAGGAAUUGA
This 873-nucleotide ribosomal RNA is filed under the name uncultured bacterium. RNAcentral's name for it is "bacterial SSU rRNA". It matches the Rfam family "Bacterial small subunit ribosomal RNA", at positions 32 to 913 of the family's 1533-position model. The record is from RNAcentral.